Molecule: non-coding RNA, 5819 nt
Organism: Oryza sativa Japonica Group (Japanese rice)
Lineage: Eukaryota; Viridiplantae; Streptophyta; Magnoliopsida; Poales; Poaceae
Source: RefSeq, a predicted model, not a curated record
GUGAUGCUCUGUCGUGGCUGUGAUCUGUCCGUCCGCUUGCCAACCCGAUAUGCUUGCCCUCCACACAGCACACACCCAUCAAUCCCCAAUUCAUGAAAAUAAAUCCCUAAUCCAUCUGCUUGCCCUCUCCACCACACACCCAUCGAUCCCCAAUUCAUGAAGAUAAAUCCCUAAUCCAUCGGAGAAAUCGACGCCAUCCCCUCUGCCCCAUCGAUCACCAGUUCGCCGGCGGCUGCCUUUCUCUUCCCCGACCUGCGUUCUUCCCCACCCACCGCCUGUGAUUGUAGGGUUGCCCCGUGGUGGUUGCCGCUGGUUAUAGUCGUCGUCCAGCUAUCUCUAUCGGUCAGGCUGCCGGCGCGCUGGCCGCACCCAUCAAGGCUCCCGAUUGUUGCCCUGGUCGAGCGGCUGCCAUCUGCCAGCCUGUCUGCUCUGGACAGCUGCCUCCAUCCUCGGUUUUCUUCAUUUGAAUGAUGUCAGUCUCUUCUGGGCCAUCAACACCUAAACCAGCUUGCAAGCGCAGGCAACCCGAGAGAGCUUUUAUACCUUCAGAUGAUUCUGUUGUGCCAUAUCUAUUUCCUAGGGAAUAUUCCUAGCGAUGGCGUUGUUCUGCUGGCUGAUGACGCCCUCUCCCAUGUUUGUGAUUUCCCUACAAGUUUUCAUUUGCCAUCAAGGCGCUCUAUACGUCGAAGACUACUUACUCAGUCUGCUGGAUUUCCCCACCCGGAUCCUGUAACAGCUGCUCAAUCACGUCGAAAGCGUAAGCUUGCUAUGGCUGCCAAAUCAUCUAGAGAAAUUAAUAGUACCACUGAAAUGAUAGAGCAUCGGACGCAUAUCCAUGUGCUACAACGGAAUGUUCGACAACGAACCGGUCUGUCUCAGUCAUCCACCUUGGUUCCUAUCAAUUGUGGCCAUACACAACCUUUUGCAACUGUCGAUGGAGCAUGUUCAUCGUCGACCUCUUCAGCCCUAUUGUCUCCAUCUCCCACACAUCAACACCAUUUGCUCAUCAAUUCUCGCGGUUUUGCUGAUGUAAACCUGAUGCUCGACAUGUCAAAUCAGAUCACUCAUACAGUAUGAUGCUCGACUUGCUGUUCGACUCACUAAUGCACUAUUUUCUCUCCAUCAAGGCUUGGGCCCCCAUGUCACACUUGUCCAUAUUGUGGGGCUUUCUUUUGGUUUGAGGAGCGUGUCCGCCGAGAACAGCACAGCUCAUCACCAAUAUACAAUACAUGUUGUAAAGGUGGGAGUGUCAUCUUACCUCCAUAUAGGCCACCCCCAGAACCUUUGCAUAGUCUACUCACAGGAGUUAACAGAUCAUUGUCAGCCCAUUUUUUUAGAACAUUAGGUUCUACAAUUCGAUGUUUGCCUUCACAUCGAUGGGUGUAAAUGUCAUUGAUUCUAUCAAUGAUGGACGAGGCCCAUAUGUUUUCAAGAUUAGUGGCCAGCUCUGCCAUCGCAUUGGGUCACUCAUACCAGAAGAAGGAAGACGACCAGAGUAUGCUCACUUAUAUAUCUUUGACACAGAAAAUGAGAUCAGGAAUAGGAUAAAUGUUGGAACCUAUGCAAAUAGGAGUUUUCGUCCUAAUGAGGAUAUUGUGGCUGGACUUAUAGACAUGUUCAACACCCACAAUCCUAUUGUCCACCUAUUUAGGACAGCUCGUGAUAGAUUGGCUGAAAAUGGUGAUGAUUGAUACAUCAUAAGAUUAUUUGGUGAUCCCGACAAGCAUGGUGAUAUAUUUAGUGCUCCAGUUGCAUCGGAGGUUGUUGGGUUAGUUGUUGGUGAUGUAGGUAUAAGUGAUGUUGGCCGUGACCUUAUUGUGCAGGACCAAGCGGGUCAUUUACAAAAAGUUGAAGAAAAGCAUUGUAAAUUUAUGUCAAUGCAAUAUCCAAUUCUAUUUCCAUAUGGGGAGGAUGGCUAUCAUGAAAAUAUCACAUACCGACGUUGUGCUCGAUUACAAGCUAUCAAAAGAAAGAAGUCUACUAUGGUUGAAUACUUUGCAUAUAGGCUUCAUGACAAAGCUGAUGACUUCAAUACUCCUAUGCGCUGCAAGAGAGGAACCCAGGCCUAUGUCAUAGAUGCCUAUUGUUGUAUGGAAGAAUCUCGCCUGAGUCACUAUAGAUCCAAGACAUUUCAGCUUAAGUAUAGAACAACUUCAUUUAGUGAGGUAUCCACUAUGGUCCAUUCAGGCAUCACAGAAGCAUCAGAUGCCGGGCAGCAAGUUAUAUUGCCUUCUUCUUAUAUUGGGGGGGGGGCAAGAUAUUUAUAUCAAAAUUACUUAGAUUCAGUUGCUCUAUGUAGAAAAUAUGGUUGCCCUGAUUUGUUUAUCACUUUCACAUCAAAUUCCUUAUGGUCAGAGGUAACACAAGCUUUGGCUAUCAUCCCUGGGCAACACUCAGCAGAUAGGCCUGAUAUUAUUAAUCGUGUAUUCCAUGUUAAGCUGCAUCUCUUCAUGGACGACAUCGUAAAGAAGAAAUUUUUUGGCCCUGUCACUGCAGUUGUGUACACAAUUGAAUUUCAGAAGCGUGGACUUCCACAUGUUCACAUCAUAUUGUGGUUAGAUAAGAGUGGUCCAUUGACACCUGCUGAUAUUGACAGACUAAUAUCGGCCCAGCUUCCAGAUCCAUCCAUUGAUCGAGUUGGUUAUGAUGCUGUUGCGGCAUUCAUGAUGCAUGGACCUUGUGGUGAUGCAAAUCCGCAUUGUUCAUGCAUGGUUGACGGUAAAUGCUCAAAGAAUUACCCGAAGGAAUAUUAUGAGAAAACAACAAUCCUGCCAAAUGGCCAUGUAAGGUAUGCUCGGCCAAAAAAUGAUAUAAUUGUUGCGAAAAAUGGAAUUUCUCUUGAUAAUUGGCAUGUUGUCCCCCACAACGUCGAUUUAUUAGUCAAAUAUGAGGCGCAUAUCAACGUGGAAAGAGUUAAUCGUGAUGGAAUGGAAAAGUAUCUAUUCAAAUAUGUUGCUAAGGGUUUUGAUUGUUCGAGGGUUGGUCUCAAGCGCAAGCGGGCAUGUGCUGGAACUAAUGAGAUUCAUGACUAUUUAGAAUGUAGAUGUAUAGCGCCGAAUGAGGCGGCAUGGCGUUUGCUUUAGUUUGAGAUUCAUUAUACUGAUCCUGCUAUUGAGCGUCUCCAUGUACAUAUGCCAUUAGAGAAUAAUGUUACAUUCACAGAGGAUGAUAAUCUGGAACAGAUCUUGGAUAACCCACGCAAUCGUGUUACGAAACUUACAGCAUGGUUUGCUGCAAAUAGAGAAUACUCUCAGGCUGCUCCAUAUACAUAUGCAGAGUUCCCAGAAUACUUUACCUGGCAUGGUAAUGGCAAAUAUUGGGCUCCACGGAAAAAUUGCCGCAAGAAAAUUGAAAGGAUAGCACAUGUUUGUCCUGCCCAAGGAGAUGUCUACUACCUUAGAAUGUUGCUGCACAUUGUCAAAGGAGCAAAAUCCUAUUCUGAUCUCCGGACCAUUGAAGGACAUGUAUAUCCUACAUUCCAAUCUGCAUGUCAAGCCCUAGGCCUUCUUGGUGAUGACCGUGAAUGGUCCUUCGCAAUGACUGAUGCGACUCAUUGGGCACUUCCCUACCAACUCCGUGAGUUAUUUGUAACAUUGCUUCUUUUCUGUGAUGUUACAAACCCACUGAGUUUAUUUGAAGAGCAUCUGUCUUCAAUGGGUCAAGAUGCAGCCUACCACCUUAACCAUGCCACACUAGGUAUAAAUUCUUCUGCACCUUCAGUCAUACAAUAUGUCAAGUCCUAUGUUCGUUCCGAGAUCGAUAGCAUACUUAGAAAUGUUGGUCGUACUUUGGCACAUUUCCAUUUACCUGAGCCUACUAUUCAAAGCACAUCCAUCCUUGGCAAUAGGUUGCUAAUAGAUGAACAAGCAUAUGAUCUAGAGAAGAUAUCGAUUGAAGCGGCUGAUCAGUUAGGCAAGUUAAAUCUGAACCAGAGACAUAUAUAUGAUGCUAUUCUCAAUUCUUUAAAUAGUGACAUUGGGCAUACCUUCUUUAUCUAUGGCUAUGGAGGGACAGGGAAAACAUUCCUUUGGAAUACCCUACUAAAUAGUGUAAGGGCUGAAGGGAAAAUUGCUUUGGCAGUUGCUUCUUCCGGUAUAGCAUCACUUCUACUUCCUGGUGGCCGCACGCCUCAUUCUCGCUUUAGAAUACCAUUGGACAUACAAGAGCAUCCAGUUUGUUCUAUUAAGAAGAACACUCACUUGGCUCAAUUAAUUCAACAAACCUCCUUAGUCAUAUGGGAUGAGGCACCUGUUAAUCACAAACAUUGCUUUGAAGCUCUUGACCGAACAUUGAGAGAUAUUCUUGCAUCCAAUGAUCCAUCACUUGCUAACAAACAGUUUGGAGGCAUUACAGAUGUUCUUGGAGGAGAUUUUAGGCAAACUCUCCCGGUUCUACCCUAUGAAAAAAACAGGAAAUCUUAUCUUCAUCCAUCACACGUUCUCAUUUGUGGCAGCACUGCAUUCUCAUGCAUCUUACGGAAAAUAUGAGGCUUCAAUCCCCAACAUUGUCUAAUACUCAUCGUCAACGCCUUCAAGAAUUUGCAGAAUGGUUGUUAGCAAUAGGGGAGGGAGCAGUAGCAGAUUCUUCACCUACUGAUCGAGAGGAUGUUUCUUGGGUAAAAAUACCAGAGUAUUUGCUUUUGCCAGAUGACACAAGAAACCUUUCAGGCCUUAUCUCUUUUGUAUAUGAUGCCUCAAUCAAUUCUCACACAGCCAAUUAUCUCUGUGAGCGAGCAAUUCUAGCCCCAACAAAUGAAAUCGCUGCAAGUAUAAAUUCCCAAAUGAUUGCUCAGCUGACUACUGAAGAAAUGUCAUACUAUAGUUCAGACACAAUUGAAGAUACUACAAGUAAUCGUGCCACUCUUGAUGCUCUUUACCCAACUGAGUUCCUGAACACUAUAAAAAUCAGCGGUUUGCCAGACCAUCACCUUCAACUAAAAAUAGGAGUGCUGAUUAUGCUGCUGCGCAAUCUGAACCCAACCAGACUUAUAAUGACUCAAUUGACUUGUCGUGUGAUAGAAGGGGAGAUAAUUACAGGGAAGGCUAAAGGAUCCAAGGCAUAUAUACCAAGGAUAGUAACCACUUCAAUUGAUAAGAAGUGGCCUUUUAAAUUAAAGCGCCGACAAUUUCCUGUAUGUGUGUCAUAUGCAUUGACUAUAAAUAAAAGUCAAGGGCAAACACUUAGUAGAGUUGGUGUCUACUUACCUAGCCCUGUCUUCUCACAUGGACAACUUUAUGUCGCACUCUCACGUGUAACAUCGCCUGAUGGUCUUCGUAUUCUAAUUGAGAAUAGUCCAACUGAGCAUGUGACCAGCACUCACAAUGUUGUUUACAAAGAAAUAUUUAACGAUCUGGAUCAACAAGGAAUGCAUACAUGAUUACAGGAUUCUUUAUCUGAAACCUCUGCCUUGUCAAAGCAGCACGCAGUUGGUAUUAUUACAAUGGUUCAGUUCUUUCCUGUCUAUUUUAUGUGAUCUUCACACUCAACUUUCCUCUAAUAUAUGCCUUCUGGUAUCCAUGGUUUCUUCGCUGCCAUCAUACGAAGAACCAAGCAUCCAACCAUCUCAAUGAUCAUUAUAAAUUUCAUUUUUCCAUCAGCAGGUGUUCUGCUAGAAAACAUAUCAAUGCACCUCUAUGCCCUAUUAUGUACCUUUUGGCUUGCAAGAGUGUUAUACGAGAUAAAUUAUUUGUCUCACUCACCUGUAUGCCUGCCAUGUAAAUAAUAUAACUAUUUUAAUUGCCAACUGACUACCGUCAUCAAUUCUUUUGUCCGAUGAAAUAACAUAUCUUACAUAUAUUAUAUGCUUUUUAGUAAGUAAA